CCCUCUCUACACACAGGCAUCAUCCCGACGUUAACAGCUCACGGCGGACCCUGCUGUGUCUCUGCCUAGCACUGCUCAGACUCCCUUUCCCUCGGAGAGAAGGUCCGAGCUCACAGUCAAGGUCACCUAUGACCUGGCCCACCUGCCUCUCUCCCCACUCCGGAUCCCUCCACCCCUGAGAAACUUCACGCUGCUGGAAAACUGGCUAUAACUGGACAGUGGGGGAUCCUGGCAGACACCACCUCAACCAGUGCUCAAGCUCCGGUGUAAUCAUGACGAAGCCACAGACAUCCUGCAGAGGAACUGGCCGGUGCUCUUCAAAAGGGCCAAGGUCAUGAAAGACAAGGCAUGCCGGAAGAGCUGUCCCAGACCGGGGGACCCUGGAAGACAAGAUGACCAAAUGCGAUAUGGAGCCUGGACUGGACGUUAGUGGGUCCCAAUGUCUCCUGCUGCUCAAGACUCCUGACAUUAGAAAUGAUUGAAUGGCCACCCCAGCUCUCUGCACCUGGACCAACGACCAAUGGCCAGGGAGGCAGUGAAGAAGCACAGAUGGAGAAGCUGAGGGUCCUCCCGGAGAAGGGGGGUCCCAGCUGUCAAUUCUAACACAAGGGUCUCAUGCUGUGCUAGUCCCCGCUGCCCUACCACCUAGAGGUGUAAGCUUGUCAUGCCACUUUGUGAGCAUGUCUCUGAGGGAAUGUGCUGAGGAAUCUGAGGUGCUAGGCUGCACCACCAGCACACCCCGGGACCCGACCUCCAGGCUCUUCUAGGACUGGAAGCUGCCAGCCCAGGGAGCACAGCAGAACAGUGGAAAGCAUGGGUUCUGGAUGGACUCUCCACUUCUCCACACACCUGCUGUGUAAACUAGGCAUCAUUUCACCUCUCUGAACCCAGUUUCCUCAUCUGUACCUCUCGGUUCCUGCUUCACAGGGUGUGGUGGGAAUUAGACUUAGCCAGCAGUAAAGCAGCGGGCAAUCUGUCAGGAUCAGAGGAGCUGCUCCCAUUUCCCAGUGAGGGAAGAGGCGCAGAGUGAUGCCGGGCUCCUGACUCCUCCCCUUCGGAGGCCCUGCCUUCCUGCAGCCUCCAGCUCCCCUCCCCCAUAUCGUGUUCUUCUCCGUCCCUAGGGAAGGGGCAUCUCCUUUGCUGGUGAGGGCAGGGAACCCACCCACCAAGCUCUGCCUUCGCACUCCCCA
This is a long non-coding RNA of Zalophus californianus (California sea lion), 1190 nucleotides long. RefSeq lists it as uncharacterized. The transcript is spliced from 3 exons. Lineage: Eukaryota; Metazoa; Chordata; Mammalia; Carnivora; Otariidae. The record is from RefSeq and is a predicted model, not a curated record.